CCGGCGAUGUCCGAAUGGGGAAACCCAGUGCAAUUCGUUGCACUAUCGUUAACUGAAUACAUAGGUUAACGAGGCGAACCGGGGGAACUGAAACAUCUAAGUACCCCGAGGAAAAGAAAUCAACCGAGAUUCCCCCAGUAGCGGCGAGCGAACGGGGAGCAGCCCAGAGUCUGAAUCAGCUUGUGUGUUAGUGGAACGGUCUGGAAAGUCCGACGGUACAGGGUGAUAGUCCCGUACACCAAAAUGCACAGGCUGUGAACUCGAAGAGUAGGGCGGGACACGUGGUAUCCUGUCUGAAUAUGGGGGGACCAUCCUCCAAGGCUAAAUACUCCUGACUGACCGAUAGUGAACCAGUACCGUGAGGGAAAGGCGAAAAGAACCCCGGCGAGGGGAGUGAAAAAGAACCUGAAACCGUGUACGUACAAGCAGUGGGAGCACCUUCGGGUGUGACUGCGUACCUUUUGUAUAAUGGGUCAGCGACUUAUAUUCUGUAGCAAGGUUAACCGUAUAGGGGAGCCGCAGGGAAACCGAGUCUUAACUGGGCGUUAAGUUGCAGGGUAUAGACCCGAAACCCGGUGAUCUAGCCAUGGGCAGGUUGAAGGUUGGGUAACACUAACUGGAGGACCGAACCGACUAAUGUUGAAAAAUUAGCGGAUGACUUGUGGCUGGGGGUGAAAGGCCAAUCAAACCGGGAGAUAGCUGGUUCUCCCCGAAAGCUAUUUAGGUAGCGCCUCGUGAAUUCAUCUUCGGGGGUAGAGCACUGUUUCGGCUAGGGGGUCAUCCCGACUUACCAACCCGAUGCAAACUACGAAUACCGAAGAAUGUUAUCACGGGAGACACACGGCGGGUGCUAACGUCCGUCGUGAAGAGGGAAACAACCCAGACCGCCAGCUAAGGUCCCAAAGUCAUGGUUAAGUGGGAAACGAUGUGGGAAGGCACAGACAGCCAGGAUGUUGGCUUAGAAGCAGCCAUCAUUUAAAGAAAGCGUAAUAGCUCACUGGUCGAGUCGGCCUGCGCGGAAGAUGUAACGGGGCUAAACCAUGCACCGAAGCUGCGGCAGCGACACUAUGUGUUGUUGGGUAGGGGAGCGUUCUGUAAGCCUGCGAAGGUGUGCUGUGAGGCAUGCUGGAGGUAUCAGAAGUGCGAAUGCUGACAUAAGUAACGAUAAAGCGGGUGAAAAGCCCGCUCGCCGGAAGACCAAGGGUUCCUGUCCAACGUUAAUCGGGGCAGGGUGAGUCGACCCCUAAGGCGAGGCCGAAAGGCGUAGUCGAUGGGAAACAGGUUAAUAUUCCUGUACUUGGUGUUACUGCGAAGGGGGGACGGAGAAGGCUAUGUUAGCCGGGCGACGGUUGUCCCGGUUUAAGCAUGUAGGCUGGUUAUCCAGGCAAAUCCGGAUAAUCAAGGCUGAGGUGUGAUGACGAGGCACUACGGUGCUGAAGUAACAAAUGCCCUGCUUCCAGGAAAAGCCUCUAAGCAUCAGGUAACAUUAAAUCGUACCCCAAACCGACACAGGUGGUCAGGUAGAGAAUACCAAGGCGCUUGAGAGAACUCGGGUGAAGGAACUAGGCAAAAUGGUGCCGUAACUUCGGGAGAAGGCACGCUGGUGUGUAGGUGAAGUCCCUGCGGAUGGAGCUGAGACCAGUCGAAGAUACCAGCUGGCUGCAACUGUUUAUUAAAAACACAGCACUGUGCAAACACGAAAGUGGACGUAUACGGUGUGACGCCUGCCCGGUGCCGGAAGGUUAAUUGAUGGGGUUAUCCGUAAGGAGAAGCUCUUGAUCGAAGCCCCGGUAAACGGCGGCCGUAACUAUAACGGUCCUAAGGUAGCGAAAUUCCUUGUCGGGUAAGUUCCGACCUGCACGAAUGGCGUAAUGAUGGCCAGGCUGUCUCCACCCGAGACUCAGUGAAAUUGAACUCGCUGUGAAGAUGCAGUGUACCCGCGGCAAGACGGAAAGACCCCGUGAACCUUUACUAUAGCUUGACACUGAACAUUGAGCCUUGAUGUGUAGGAUAGGUGGGAGGCUUUGAAGCGUGGACGCCAGUCUGCGUGGAGCCGACCUUGAAAUACCACCCUUUAAUGUUUGAUGUUCUAACGUUGGCCCCUUACCGGGGUUGCGGACAGUGUCUGGUGGGUAGUUUGACUGGGGCGGUCUCCUCCCAAAGCGUAACGGAGGAGCACGAAGGUUAGCUAAUCCUGGUCGGACAUCAGGAGGUUAGUGCAAUGGCAUAAGCUAGCUUGACUGCGAGCGUGACGGCGCGAGCAGGUGCGAAAGCAGGUCAUAGUGAUCCGGUGGUUCUGAAUGGAAGGGCCAUCGCUCAACGGAUAAAAGGUACUCCGGGGAUAACAGGCUGAUACCGCCCAAGAGUUCAUAUCGACGGCGGUGUUUGGCACCUCGAUGUCGGCUCAUCACAUCCUGGGGCUGAAGUAGGUCCCAAGGGUAUGGCUGUUCGCCAUUUAAAGUGGUACGCGAGCUGGGUUUAGAACGUCGUGAGACAGUUCGGUCCCUAUCUGCCGUGGGCGCUGGAGAAUUGAGGGGGGCUGCUCCUAGUACGAGAGGACCGGAGUGGACGCAUCACUGGUGUUCGGGUUGUCAUGCCAAUGGCACUGCCCGGUAGCUAAAUGCGGAAGAGAUAAGUGCUGAAAGCAUCUAAGCACGAAACUUGCCCCGAGAUGAGUUCUCCCUGAGACUUUAAGUCUCCUGAAGGAACGUU
This 2712-nucleotide ribosomal RNA is filed under the name Klebsiella pneumoniae. RNAcentral's name for it is "bacterial LSU rRNA". It matches the Rfam family "Bacterial large subunit ribosomal RNA". The record is from RNAcentral. Lineage: Bacteria; Pseudomonadati; Pseudomonadota; Gammaproteobacteria; Enterobacterales; Enterobacteriaceae.